RNAcentral lists this transfer RNA (82 nucleotides) under hydrothermal vent metagenome. RNAcentral's name for it is "tRNA-Leu-TAG". It matches the Rfam family "tRNA". From Rfam's summary of the family: Transfer RNA (tRNA) molecules are approximately 80 nucleotides in length. Their secondary structure includes four short double-helical elements and three loops (D, anti-codon, and T loops). Further hydrogen bonds mediate the characteristic L-shaped molecular structure. tRNAs have two regions of fundamental functional importance: the anti-codon, which is responsible for specific mRNA codon recognition, and the 3' end, to which the tRNAs corresponding amino acid is attached (by aminoacyl-tRNA synthetases). tRNAs cope with the degeneracy of the genetic code in two manners: having more than one tRNA (with a specific anti-codon) for a particular amino acid; and 'wobble' base-pairing, i.e. permitting non-standard base-pairing at the 3rd anti-codon position. The record is from RNAcentral.
GCGGAUGUGGUGGAAUUGGUAGACACGCCAGACUUAGGAUCUGGUGCCUAACGGUGUGGAGGUUCGAGUCCUCUCAUCCGCA